GUGGGGAAUUUUGGACAAUGGGCGCAAGCCUGAUCCAGCAAUGCCGCGUGCAGGAAGAAGGCCUUCGGGUUGUAAACUGCUUUUGUCAGGGAAGAAAUCUUCUGGGCUAAUACCCCGGGAGGAUGACGGUACCUGAAGAAUAAGCACCGGCUAACUACGUGCCAGCAGCCGCGGUAAUACGUAGGGUGCGAGCGUUAAUCGGAAUUACUGGGCGUAAAGCGUGCGCAGGCGGUUAUGUAAGACAGAUGUGAAAUCCCCGGGCUCAACCUGGGAACUGCAUUUGUGACUGCAUGACUGUAGUGCGGCAGAGGGGGAUGGAAUUCCGCGUGUAGCAGUGAAAUGCGUAGAUAUGCGGAGGAACACCGAUGGCGAAGGCAAUCCCCUGGGCCUGCACUGACGCUCAUGCACGAAAGCGUGGGGAGCAAACAGGAUUAGAUACCCGAGUAGUCC
Molecule: ribosomal RNA, 450 nt
Filed under: uncultured bacterium
Lineage: Bacteria
Description: partial 16S ribosomal RNA
Rfam family: Bacterial small subunit ribosomal RNA
Source: RNAcentral